Molecule: long non-coding RNA, 387 nt
Organism: Sarcophilus harrisii (Tasmanian devil)
Lineage: Eukaryota; Metazoa; Chordata; Mammalia; Dasyuromorphia; Dasyuridae
Exons: 2
Source: RefSeq, a predicted model, not a curated record
UAUUGCUGAUGAGUAGAUUUCAUGGACUUCCCAUCAAAGGGCCUCCCAUAACCCUGAGGAAUUAAAAAGGGCAUAGGGCCUAAAAGUCAGGGUGGAAAUAUACCAUGUAGCAAGUAGCCUAUAGCACAUCAUCCUCGCUAGCAAAAGGAGAUGGAUGUGUCAUCAUACCAGUCAUAAAGCGGGGGUGAGGAGCAACAGGUGAAUGGUCAAUGGGACAUUGUGUGCUCAUGAAAUGUUAGGCUGCUUAGAGGAAAGCUUUCUUUUCUAAGAGGAAUAUAUAAGAAGAAAGGAAGAGAAAAGCUGGGAAGAUUUGCAUAGGUUGCAGAUUGCAAGGGGAAAGCAGAAAGAAAUGGAAAAGAUGACCUGACAUUUCUUUCUGAAAGGAAA